AAUGAUAGGUAACCAAUCUUACGCUCUAGUAUGCAUCAUCUGAAUGUUGAUGACACUGGUCAUACUUCAAGAGCUGCAGAAUCUUGUCAAAGCUCUCAAACCACCAUGGCAUUUCAGUACCCCAGGCCCAAAGAUCUUAGUGAAGUUGCAUGGUUGAAUUGGGAUGGUAUGUCAUGUGUUUGUAUCAUUUUGGUAUAUAUGAGAACGUAUUACUAAAAUCACA
Long non-coding RNA from Helianthus annuus (common sunflower), 223 nucleotides. RefSeq lists it as uncharacterized. The record is from RefSeq and is a predicted model, not a curated record. The transcript has 2 exons. NCBI's taxonomy places the organism in Eukaryota, Viridiplantae, Streptophyta, Magnoliopsida, Asterales, Asteraceae.